AUUGAACGCUGGCGGCAGGCCUAACACAUGCAAGUCGAACGAGUGGCGGACGGGUGAGUAAUGUCUGGGAAACUGCCUGAUGGAGGGGGAUAACUACUGGAAACGGUAGCUAAUACCGCAUACCAUCAGAUGUGCCCAGAUGGGAUUAGCUUGUUGGUGGGGUAACGGCUCACCAAGACGAAGAUCCCUAGCUGGUCUGAGAGGAUGACCAGCCACACGGGAACUGAGACACGUGCCAGACUCCUACGUGAGGCAGCAGUGGUGAAUAGUGCACAAUGGUCGCAAGCCUGAUGCAGCCAUGCCGCGUGUAUGAAGAAGGCCGUCGGGUUGUAAAGUACGUUCAGCGGGGAGGCGUUACCCGCAGAAGAAGCACCGGCUAACUCCGUGCCAGCAGCCGCGGUAAUAC
This 406-nucleotide ribosomal RNA is filed under the name uncultured bacterium. RNAcentral describes it as "partial 16S ribosomal RNA". It matches the Rfam family "Bacterial small subunit ribosomal RNA", at positions 30 to 526 of the family's 1533-position model. The record is from RNAcentral.